UUUAAUUUUGGAAACGAUGAAUCACAACUGAAGAAAAAUAAAACUAAACAAAAAGGAGGGCGUCUUACAAAGUAUCUACUGAACCUCUGAGUCUUAGUGAAAGGAAAUUUAAUCGCCAUAUUCACCCCUCCUUUCUUUUACAAACCGCAUUCACCCAAGGGGGGGGGGAAACUCAGUCGCGUGACGUCACCUCUUCCGCUUCUGCAGCUGCUGGAAUGUUCUCGAAAAAAGUGUCGACAAGAAGUCAGUGUGAGAACAGGUUUGGUGCAGCAGAAGACGAAGCGCGGGCGAUGAAAGGAGACAAAAAUGGUUCUCUGCUGCAAAAUGAAUAUGGCUGUGCUGUUUGUGGGCUGUCUUUCUGAAAAUCUCUUCAUCCCUUUACAAAAUAGUAUUCAGCUACUGUUUGGUCCAUAGGAACCUCAACUCAGACAAGACCAAAACUCCACAGCAGCAUCCAAAGGAAGUGGCGCCACUGCCUGGUAGAUCCUGACAGACUCGGACAGCAACAGAAAAAUGAAAAUACAUCUGAUUGGGUUGAAGCCACAAAACAAAUGUAAGCUGGUGCCAGUAAACAAACACCUUAUUUGUGCAAAUUCGGAAUUGCAAUGGCAGCAUUUGAAUUAUAGACCAGAGCCCCUUGAGUUGGUAGUAACAAUUAAAAAGUACAUUUCAAAAAACACUCUGGUGUAAAGGACACCAAACCAUUUGACUUUAUCAGUGCUACUUGUAUAAACUAAAGUUCUUUGAGUGAUAACUAGACAGUUUCUGUCCUUUGUCACAGUGUUUUUAGCACAACUGCCUUGCGAGAAGACAAAAGAACUGUCCUAACAGUGGCCUUGGGUAAGAAUAAUAGAAAGGACUGGCACUAAACAGGAGUAUUAUUUUAAAGCCAAAAGUGACCUCCACAGUUUAGAACCAUUUUUGUUUCAAACCAGAGGAGACCCAGAAAACAUAAAAAGAUCCUUGCCAGCAGUGCCUCAAAAGGACAGUAAUUAAAUUGUCAAAUAAGUAAUUUGAGGACACACUUGAAACACAAUCUCACUGAUAUUUUACUCAGUUAAUGCCCUUGCUUUGUUGCUGGCGUCACAGUUCACAUCCAUGUGUCUAAGUUUUUAAAAUGUUGCAUUGUAUUGGAAAUUUAUUUUUCAAAGCAGCUGCAAUUUGUAGCCUUUAAAUUACUAGUUAGUUAUAGACUACCCUCAGGUUUUAAAAUACAGGAAAUACUCUAUACUUCUGCACAUUCCAUCUACAGGCUAAAACAAAUCCAGAACAGCACCUUAACACAAAAAUGGAUUGAGAGCCCUUUUUGUCAGUAAUCACUGAAGCAGCCAUGCUAUAGAUUAGCGCAGAGAACUACCAAUUGUCUGCGGCAGACAGCAGCAUUUACACUGAGGUUUCACUUUAGGUUAAAGCCUUCACUUCCCAUGAGCCUACAGGAGCAGACCAAAGGAAACGGA
Molecule: long non-coding RNA, 1457 nt
Organism: Polypterus senegalus (gray bichir)
Lineage: Eukaryota; Metazoa; Chordata; Cladistia; Polypteriformes; Polypteridae
Exons: 2
Source: RefSeq, a predicted model, not a curated record